RNAcentral lists this ribosomal RNA (390 nucleotides) under uncultured bacterium. Its description in RNAcentral is "bacterial SSU rRNA". It matches the Rfam family "Bacterial small subunit ribosomal RNA", at positions 29 to 417 of the family's 1533-position model. The record is from RNAcentral.
AUUGAACGCUGGCGGCAUGCUUUACACAUGCAAGUCGAACGGCAGCACGGGGGCUUGCUCCUGGUGGCGAGUGGCGAACGGGUGAGUAAUGCAUCGGAACGUACCCAGUAGUGGGGGAUAGCCCGGCGAAAGCCGGAUUAAUACCGCAUAUUUCCUGAGGGAGAAAGCGGGGGGACCUUCGGGCCUCGCGCUACUGGAGCGGCUGAUGUCGGAUUAGCUAGUUGGUGAGGUAAAGGCUCACCAAGGCGACGAUCCGUAGCUGGUCUGAGAGGAUGAUCAGCCACACUGGGACUGAGACACGGCCCAGACUCCUACGGGAGGCAGCAGUGGGGAAUUUUGGACAAUGGGGGCAACCCUGAUCCAGCCAUGCCGCGUGAGUGAAGAAGGCCU